RNAcentral lists this ribosomal RNA (497 nucleotides) under uncultured bacterium. Its description in RNAcentral is "partial 16S ribosomal RNA". It matches the Rfam family "Bacterial small subunit ribosomal RNA", at positions 28 to 507 of the family's 1533-position model. The record is from RNAcentral.
GAUGAACGCUGGCGGCGUGCCUAACACAUGCAAGUCGAGCGAACGGACGAGAAGUUUGCUUCUCUGAUGUUAGCGGCGGACGGGUGAGUAACACGUGGAUAACCUACCUAUAAGACUGGGAUAACUUCGGGAAACCGGAGCUAACACCGGAUAAUAGUUUGAACCGCAUGGUUCAUAAGUGAAAGACGGUCUUGCUGUCACUUAUAGAUGUAUCCGGGCUGCAUUAGCUAGUUGGUAAGGUAACGGCUUACCAAGGCAACGAUGCAUAGCCGACCUGAGAGGGUGAUCGGCCACACUGGAACUGAGACACGGUCCAGACUCCUACGGGAGGCAGCAGUAGGGAAUCUUGCGCAAUGGGCGAAAGCCUGACGGAGCAACGCCGCGUGAGUGAUGAAGGUCUUCGGAUCGUAAAACUCUGUUAUUAGGGAAGAACAUAUGUGUAAGUAACUGUGCACAUCUUGACGGUACCUAAUCAGAAAGCCACGGCUAACUACGUG